RNAcentral lists this ribosomal RNA (207 nucleotides) under uncultured bacterium. Its description in RNAcentral is "partial 16S ribosomal RNA". It matches the Rfam family "Bacterial small subunit ribosomal RNA", at positions 568 to 774 of the family's 1533-position model. The record is from RNAcentral.
CACGCAGGCGGUUUUUUAAGUCAGAUGUGAAAGGUACCGGCUCAACCGGUGACAUGCAUUUGAAACUGAAAGACUUGAGUAUUGGAGAGGCAAGUGGAAUUUCUAGUGUAGCGGUGAAAUGCGUAGAUAUUAGGAGGAACACCGGUGGCGAAGGCGGCUUGCUGGACAAAUACUGACGCUGAGGUGCGAAAGCGUGGGGAGCAAACA